This 6489-nucleotide small RNA is filed under the name Pongo abelii (Sumatran orangutan). RNAcentral describes it as "retained intron". Lineage: Eukaryota; Metazoa; Chordata; Mammalia; Primates; Hominidae. The record is from RNAcentral.
CCUUGAGCCGCGGGUGACGGUGGCUCUCGCUGCUCGCGCCCCCUCCUCCCGCGGGGGGAGCCUGAUGCCACAUUCCCUAUGAAUUAUUUAUCGCCGGCCUAAAAAUACCCCGAACUUCACAGCCCGAGUGACCCUCCAGUGGACAUGGGUGGGGCCCUGUUGCUCACCUUGCUCUUCGGUGCCUGGGCAGGGCCGGUUCUGGGGCAGGGCGAGCAGGGCAUGACGGUGGCCGUGGUGUUUGGCAGCUCAGGGCCGCCCCAGGCCCAGGUCCGUGCCCGCCUCACCCCCCAGAGCUUCCUGGACCUGCCCCUGGAGAUCCAGCCGCUCACAGUGGGGGUCAACACCACCAACCCCAGCAGCCUCCUCACCCAGAUCUGCGGCCUCCUGGGUGCUGCCCGCGUCCAUGGCAUUGUCUUUGAGGACAACGUGGGCACCGAGGCGGUGGCCCAGAUCCUUGACUUCAUCUCCUCCCAGACCCAUGUGCCCAUCCUCAGCAUCAGCGGAGGCUCUGCUGUGGUCCUCACCCCCAAGGUGCAUGUCCAAACUCAUGUCCCCUCGUGCCUCAGGCCUGGAGCCAGGCUGGGGUGGGGGGUGCUUCGGUUCUGGGAAGCUGGGAUUAGACGGGAUGGGCAGGGAGGUGGGGGCUGAGGGCGUGAUGUGGGUGAUGGGGAGAUGGUUAUGGGAAUGACAUCCCAUGUUCUAGAGGAGAGCUAUUCUGGGCUGCCCUCACAUUGUGUCUGGAUGAGGGGUGGGCAGGGUGCAGGCCCACCUCUGGCUGUGGGGCUCAGGCCCCAGCCCUCCUCCUCUCUGCUUCCCUCAGCUUCCUAGGUCAGGGUGAAGACCCAGAGGGCCAGCCGGGCAUGGAGGUGGUGCCAUGCCCUCUGGGCAGUGGUAGUUGACCUGUAGGGUGAGCACUCCAGGGAACCCUGGGAGCCCUGGGGGAGGCAGAAACGGCCCUGCCCUUGCAGGGCUGGGGGAGAACGUUUGAAACACACAUUCAUCAGCAGUUACAACUGGGACAAGCGUUCUGAAGGAAAGACACAGGAUGCUGUAAGGGAGCCCAUGCAUGGCUCAUGCAUAGGGUGUUGGCCAGAGAAAGUCUCUGGAGAAAUGAUGUCUAGGCUGCAGGCCUAAGGGCGAGCUGGUGGGGAGGGGGAGAGGCCCAGGCAGAGAGGAGCAGGUGGGAUGAAGGUCACAAGGCGGGGAAGGAGCUCAGAGCUUUGGAGGAAUAGAGGGAAAAGCCUGGAGAAGGAGGCAGGGGCCUGGCCACCUGGGAAGACAUUUGGGCUUUUCCCUAAGCAAGUGGGCAGCCAGGGCAGCGCAAGCCGGCUGUGACAGUGGCCGUGGUCUGUGCCUGCCUUAGCCCUAUGAGCUUCCUGGACCUGCCCCUGGUGAUCUAGCCACUCAGGGAAGAGUGGAGGAGAGUCGAGGGAAGAGACUGAUCUGAUUUGCCUUUGUUUCAUUAAUUUUUAUAUGAAGAAUUUUGAGUACACAUUAAAAAGUAUAAAGAAGGCUCAUAUAUCCCCCAUUCGCCGAGGCCAUCCACCCCAGCCUCACCAGGACCCCCUUCCCCUUCUGUGUUAAUUUGAAGCAAAGCCCAGGCAUCCUCUUAUUCCAUCCAUAAAUAUUUCAGUAUGGAUCCCUGGCAGAUAAGGGCUUAAGAAAGUAAAACCACCAUACAUUAUCACGUCUAAAAAAUAAUAAAAAUUCCUUCAAAUAUUCAGGCAGUGUUCAAAUUUCCCCAUUGUCUCAUAACUGUCAUAAAUGUUUAUUUUGCAGCCUGUUUGCUCAAAUCAAGAGCCAAAUCAGGUCCACACGUGCCGGUUGGUUGGUGUGGUUUCUAAGUUUCUCUCAACCUCUGGGCCCCUCCUCUGUCUCUCCCUCUUUUUUCCUUGCAAUUUGUUUGUUGAAGAAACUGCGUUGCUUGGCCUCUGAAUUUUCCCUUGCUUUUUUAAAAGACUGGGACAGUGGCAGCAGUGAGACCAGUUAGGAGGGGACUGCGCUGGCUUUUGUGGUGGCAGAGGGGUGGAGAGGAGGAGCUUUCCCACCCUCAGGGCUUCAACCAGGAUGGUGUUUCCCAGUCCUCUUGGGGCCCCGGCAUAAGAUCUCAGGACAUUGGCUCUCAACCCUCAUCGUGCUCUUAGGAAAUACAGACGCCUGGCUUUGCACCUCUGGAAUUCAGAUUCAGUUGGUCUGGGGCAGCGCUUCUCAGUCUAGCGGGCUCAAGGAUCGGCUGAAGAGCUUGUUAGAAUACAGAUGCCAGGCGCCAUACCCAGCGACUCCGAUCCAGUCGGUGUGGGGUGCGACCUGAGAAUCUGCAUUUCUGACAAACUCCCCAGUGGUGCGGAUGCUGCGGGUCUGCAGGCCAGCGGGUCUGCGGGCCAGCGUGGUGGGCUGGGGACCGGGCAUGACCAUGCUAAUAGGCAGCGGAGAACCACGUUGGGGCGGGAGGGAGGCGCAGGCCAGAGGGCUCCCGGAAUGCGGAGCAUCCACCGGCGCAAGGGCGCCUGGAAGCUGAUGGAGGGGCCGAGGUCGGGGAAGGGGCGCGAGGAGGUGCUCUGCCCUCCCCGCCCCGGCUCAGGCCCCGCCCCGCCCCCAGGAGCCGGGCUCCGCCUUCCUGCAGCUGGGCGUGUCCCUGGAGCAGCAGCUGCAGGUGCUGUUCAAGGUGCUGGAAGAGUACGACUGGAGCGCCUUCGCCGUCAUCACCAGCCUGCACCCGGGCCACGCGCUCUUCCUGGAGGGCGUGCGCGCCGUCGCCGACGCCAGCCACGUGAGCUGGCGGCUGCUGGACGUGGUCACGCUGGAGCUGGGCCCGGGAGGGCCGCGCGCGCGCACCCAGCGCCUGCUGCGCCAGCUCGACGCGCCCGUGUUUGUGGCCUAUUGCUCGCGCGAGGAGGCCGAAGUGCUCUUCGCCGAGGCGGCGCAGGCCGGCCUGGUGGGGCCCGGCCACGUGUGGCUGGUGCCCAACCUGGCGCUGGGCAGCACCGAUGCGCCCCCCGCCACCUUCCCCGUGGGCCUUAUCAGCGUCGUCACCGAAAGCUGGCGCCUCAGCCUGCGCCAGAAGCUCCGCGACGGCGUGGCCAUUCUGGCCCUGGGCGCCCACAGCUACUGGCGCCAGUAUGGAACCCUGCCAGCCCCGGCCGGGGACUGCCGUGCUCACCCUGGGCCCGUCAGCCCUGCCCGGGAGGCCUUCUACAGGUGGGCACCUGCCCGGGGCAUAGGGGUAAGGAGGUGGGGAGCGCUUCAGGGGAGCUGGGUGGCAGUGAGCUUGGGCUGGCCAGCCACACCUCUCACUAGCUGCAUGCCUGGGGCCACAUUACCCCACCUGUCUGGGCCUUAGUGUCCUCAUCUGAACAAACAGCAGGUGUCAGGGUGUGGCAAGGAUCGUGGGGCCAAUAUAGGGAAGCACUUUGAACAAUAAACACAAUCAAUGCCACCUGCUGUCAGUGGCAGCGGUGAGGCAGAGGCAGGGGGUGCUUGGUCCUUGGCAGGGCUGCAGGCAUCUCUCCCCUCUGGCAGGCACCUACUGAAUGUCACCUGGGAAGGCCGAGACUUCUCCUUCAGCCCUGGUGGGUACCUGGUCCAGCCUACCAUGGUGGUGAUCGCCCUCAACCGGCACCGCCUGUGGGAGAUGGUGAGAAGGGGGUGAGCCCAGGGGCCCUCAGUGUCCUCUUAUUUUGUCCCUGCCUCCUCUCGUGCCCACAGCUGAGCAGAGAGUCCCUCUGUCCCUUAUCCAACCCCUCAUCUUCCAGGUCUCAGCUGAAACAAACAUCUCCUCCAUUGGGAAGCCUCCAGGUGCCCCGGGGUGGGUGAGGUGCCCUGCUCUGGGCUCCCAUAACACCCCGGCUUCCCUCUACUAUAGAACAUUUCAAGUGCUCCUAUCUCCUGGUCCUGCCCCUGCAGGAGUAACCCAUGACCAUGCUGGCCAGACAGGCUUGUAAACAAUAUGCAGAGACCAGUGCUUGAGUAGACGUGUGCAAAAGAUUGUGGGAUUGGAGAUGAGGAACAGGAAUUAGUUCUGCCUUCAAGGGAAGAAACUGGGGAAGAGGUCACAGAAGAUGGGAUAUUUGAGCUGGGCUGUGGAGGUUUGAGUAGGAGCCCACCAGGAAGAGGUGCUAGCCUGGAAGAGACAGAGGGGCAGAAGAGUUUGGAGCAUGAAGGGCCUUGAGUGCUCAGCUAAGGACUUUCUGUCAAAGUCAGGGGGGACCAGUACAGUGAGCAAGACAGGGUCAGGUCUGGGCUUUAGGAAGAUGCUGUGGGUCAGUGUGGAGCUGUAUGAACACAGGGACCCACGGCUGGGGGAGGCUGUCAGGAGCAGCCCUACUCUGACCUGCCCUAGCAUCCCUAGGUGAGAGAGGGAGAUUCUUGGCCCUGGCAGGCUCCACCCAGAGGGUGGGGGCUGUAGGGCUGGAGGCCCCAGGCUGAGGCUGUCACCCUCCACAGGUGGGGCGCUGGGAGCAUGGCAUCCUAUACAUGAAGUACCCCGUGUGGCCUCGCUACAGUGCCUCUCUGCAGCCUGUGGUGGACAGUCGGCACCUGACGGUGGCCACGCUGGAAGAGCGGCCCUUUGUCAUCGUGGAGAGCCCUGACCCUGGCACAGGAGGCUGUGUCCCCAACACCGUGCCCUGCCGCAGGCAGAGCAACCACACCUUCAGCAGCGGGGACGUGGCCCCCUACACCAAGCUCUGCUGUAAGGGAUUCUGCAUCGACAUCCUCAAGAAGCUGGCCAGGGUGGUCAAAUUCUCCUACGACCUGUAUCUGGUGACCAACGGCAAGCAUGGCAAGCGGGUGCGCGGCGUAUGGAACGGCAUGAUCGGGGAGGUGUACUACAAGCGGGCAGACAUGGCCAUCGGCUCCCUCACCAUCAAUGAGGAGCGCUCCGAGAUCGUAGACUUCUCCGUGCCCUUCGUGGAGACGGGCAUCAGUGUGAUGGUGGCUCGCAGCAAUGGCACUGUCUCCCCCUCGGCCUUCUUGGAGCCAUACAGCCCUGCGGUGUGGGUGAUGAUGUUUGUCAUGUGCCUCACUGUGGUGGCCAUCACUGUCUUCAUGUUCGAGUACUUCAGCCCCGUCAGCUACAACCAGAACCUCACCAGAGGCAAGAAAUCCGGGGGCCCAUCUUUCACUAUCGGCAAGUCCGUGUGGCUGCUGUGGGCGCUGGUCUUCAACAACUCAGUGCCCAUUGAGAACCCGCGGGGCACCACCAGCAAGAUCAUGGUUCUGGUCUGGGCCUUCUUUGCUGUCAUCUUCCUCGCCAGUUACACGGCCAACCUAGCCGCCUUCAUGAUCCAAGAGCAAUACAUCGACACUGUGUCGGGCCUCAGUGACAAGAAGGUUGUGGGGCCAUGGCUGGUGGGGGUGGGGGGACACUGAGGGUGGGGACAGGAUGUGAGUGGGCAGACCCAGGACAGUCAGAGGCUGGGGAAUUUGACCUGGAGGCUGGGGCAGGAAGCAGCUUCAGGGCCUGCUGAGGAGGGGCUGGGGGCUGGGGCAAGAGAUGGCUCAGGGCCACCGACUGACAGGCCUUGGGUAAGUCUCUCCCUGUCUUGGGCCUCAGAGUCUCCAUUUGGAAAACACAGGAGUGGCCUGGACAGCCUCUAAGACCUUCUGCUCUGACUAUGCAAGUCCACACUGGGGCUGGGCUCUGGGGUGGGUUUGGGGUUUUGGUGCCUGGAAGGCUGGAGGAAGGGUUGUGACUGGCUGCUGCCCUCCGCCUGCAGUUUCAGCGGCCUCAAGAUCAGUACCCACCUUUCCGCUUUGGCACGGUGCCCAACGGCAGCACGGAGCGGAACAUCCGCAGUAACUACCGUGACAUGCACACCCACAUGGUCAAGUUCAACCAGCGCUCGGUGGAGGACGCGCUCACCAGCCUCAAGAUGGGGAAGCUGGAUGCCUUCAUCUAUGAUGCUGCUGUCCUCAACUACAUGGCAGGCAAGGACGAGGGCUGCAAGCUGGUCACCAUUGGGUCUGGCAAGGUCUUUGCCACCACUGGCUACGGCAUCGCCAUGCAGAAGGACUCCCACUGGAAGCGGGCCAUAGACCUGGCGCUCUUGCAGUUCCUGGGGGACGGAGAGACACAGAAACUGGAGACAGUGUGGCUCUCGGGGAUCUGCCAGAAUGAGAAGAACGAGGUGAUGAGCAGCAAGCUGGACAUCGACAACAUGGCAGGCGUCUUCUACAUGCUGCUGGUGGCCAUGGGGCUGGCCCUGCUGGUCUUCGCCUGGGAGCACCUGGUCUACUGGAAGCUGCGCCACUCGGUGCCCAACACAUCCCAGCUGGACUUCCUGCUGGCUUUCAGCAGGGGCAUCUACAGCUGCUUCAGCGGGGUGCAGAGCCUCGCCAGCCCACCGCGGCAGCCCAGCCCGGACCUCACGGCCAGCUCGGCCCAGGCCAGCGUGCUCAAGAUGCUGCAGGCGGCCCGCGACAUGGUGACCACGGCGGGCGUAAGCAGCUCCCUGGACCGCGCCACUCGCACCAUCGAGAAUUGGGGUG